AUCGUAACGGAAGGGCCGCCGGGGGAAGGGGCACCGCGGCUUCCUGCGGCAGCCCCGCGGCCAGGGCCGGGCUCCGAACGCGGUCCCGGCGCGGACAGGGACAACGGCAGCGGAAAGAAGGAGAUUGUGCUCGGCUCUUGUCUGAGAACCGCGCGCAGAGCGGGGCAUGAUCCACCCGCUCCCUUCGGGGUGCCGGACCGGGGGAAACUCAAAAUAUCGGCGGGAUGCAACACUUGGCUGUCCCAGGUGCAAAGUUUGGGGUGCAGAAUGAGAGCUGAAGUGCAGAAUGGGAACUGAGGUGUAGAGAGCCAAGGCCUCUGCUUGCAGCAGCUGAAGCGGUCGGUGAUGGGAAUCCUGGAGCUGUUGGGUUGUCGGAGGUUUCACACAGUGAAACAGCAAAGUUGUAGUGCUCUAAUUCAUCCCUGUUUUGUUGGCAAGCGGGUUUUCCCCGAGGAUACGCUGCCAGCCCUGUGCUAUCAUCCCUGUGCUUCCAGAGCAGAACCAAGCUGUGGGAUGCUUCCUUUCGGGACACCCCCCUCAACCUGCUCGUUCCUAAAACACACAGACCGAUAAAACAGAGCCGAUAAGACAUUUGCCUGUGUGUUCUUGUCCCUGGGAUAUGUAACAUGCUUUUAUGUUCUGAUCUGGCUCGCUUGAACGAGACUGCUGAAAACAGCACAGCCAGCAUCUGUGUGCGGGAGGAAACAAUGGACUUGCUUUUCCUUCACUGCAGAAUUGCAGCCUGGAGGUGAGGAAACUUUGCUUCGCUCACCAUAUUCCUCCCUAAUGCCGCGGCAGAGGGAAGAAAGGGCUCUUGUAUUCAUGUAUCCUCCCGGGCCAAGUCAAUUUACAUGUGAAUGCACUUUUAAAAUAAAAUUAAAGUCAAAGCUGUGGCCAGAA
Molecule: long non-coding RNA, 900 nt
Organism: Passer domesticus (house sparrow)
Lineage: Eukaryota; Metazoa; Chordata; Aves; Passeriformes; Passeridae
Exons: 2
Source: RefSeq, a predicted model, not a curated record